AGCUUUGCACAGUGGCAGUAUCAUAGCCAAUGAGGCUGAUCUGAGGCGUGAUUAUUGCUAAUUGAAAAUUUUUUCUAAGUAGCAGGUGCUUAAACAUCAGACCUUGCUGUAUCCUCACUUGGGAG
Molecule: small nuclear RNA, 125 nt
Filed under: Chinchilla lanigera (long-tailed chinchilla)
Lineage: Eukaryota; Metazoa; Chordata; Mammalia; Rodentia; Chinchillidae
Description: U4 spliceosomal RNA (ENSCLAG00000021005.1)
Rfam family: U4 spliceosomal RNA
About the family: U4 small nuclear RNA (U4 snRNA) is a component of the major U2-dependent spliceosome. The structure of U4 snRNA from yeast and human has been reported.
Source: Rfam by way of RNAcentral